This 504-nucleotide ribosomal RNA is filed under the name uncultured bacterium. RNAcentral's name for it is "partial 16S ribosomal RNA". It matches the Rfam family "Bacterial small subunit ribosomal RNA", at positions 29 to 523 of the family's 1533-position model. The record is from RNAcentral.
AUUGAACGCUGGCGGCAGGCCUAACACAUGCAAGUCGAACGGUAGCACAGAGAGCUUGCUCUCGGGUGACGAGUGGCGGACGGGUGAGUAACGUCUGGGAAACUGCCCGAUGGAGGGGGAUAACUACUGGAAACGGUAGCUAAUACCGCAUAACGUCGCAAGACCAAAGUGGGGGACCUUCGGGCCUCACACCAUCGGAUGUGCCCAGAUGGGAUUAGCUAGUAGGUGGGGUAAUGGCUCACCUAGGCGACGGUCCCUAGCUGGUCUGAGAGGAUGACCAGCCACACUGGAACUGAGACACGGUCCAGACUCCGACGGGAGGCAGCAGUGGGGAAUAUUGCACAAUGGGCGCAAGCCCGAUGCAGCCAUGCCGCGUGUAUGAAGAAGGCCUUCGGGUUGUAAAGUACUUUCAGCGGGGAGGAAGGCAGUGAAGUUAACAGCUUCACCGAUUGACGUUACCCGCAGAAGAAGCACCGGCUAACUCCGUGCCAGCCGCCGCCGUAA